UUCCGGUUGAUCCCGCCGGACCUGACUGCUAUCGGAUUGAUACUAAGCCAUGCGAGUCAUUGCAGCAAUGCAAGGCAGACGGCUCAGUAACACGUAGUCAAUCUAACCUGUGGACGGGGAUAAUCUCGGGAAACUGAGCAUAAUACCCGAUAGAUCAUUAUGCCUGGAACGGUUUAUGGUCAAAAUGGUUAUCGCCACAGGAUGGGACUGCGGCCUAUCAGCUAGUUGGUGAGUUAACGGCCCACCAAGGCGAUAACAGGUACGGGCUCUGAGAGGAGAAGCCCGGAGAUGGGUACUGAGACACGGACCCAGGCCCUAUGGGGCGCAGCAGGCGAGAAAACUUUGCAAUGUGCGAAAGCACGACAAGGUUAAUCCGAGUGGCUUCUGUUGAAGUUGCCUUUUGACAGUCCUAAAAACACUGUCGAAUAAGGGGUGGGCAAGUUCUGGUGUCAGCCGCCGCGGUAAAACCAGCACCUCAAGUGGUCAGGAUGAUUAUUGGGCCUAAGCAUCCGUAGCCGGCUCUGUAAGUUUUCGGUUCAAUCUGUACGCUCAACGUACAGGCUGCCGGGAAUACUGCAGAGCUAGGGAGUGGGAGAGGUAGACGGUACUCGGUAGGAAGGGGUAAAAUCCUUUGAUCUAUUGAUGACCACCUGUGGCGAAGGCGGUCUACCAGAACACGUCCGACGGUGAGGGAUGAAAGCUGGGGGAGCAAACCGGAUUAGAUACCCGGGUAGUCCCAGCUGUAAACCAUGCAAACUCA
This 760-nucleotide ribosomal RNA is filed under the name uncultured archaeon. RNAcentral describes it as "bacterial SSU rRNA". It matches the Rfam family "Archaeal small subunit ribosomal RNA", at positions 1 to 770 of the family's 1478-position model. The record is from RNAcentral.